AUGGCUCCUACUGAGGCUGAGGCUGAUGUAGAGGAGGGAGAAGCGAAGAAGAAGAAGAGGGAAAGGAAAGCAGCCGGAGCUGCUUUCACGUGGAUUCAAACUCACUUUGCGACGUGCCCUCCGGAUGCCAGUGAUGAUGUGAUCCAGACACAUGCUCGUGUCUACAUGUGGUAUGUUGUGUCGAGGACUUUGUUUCCUGACUCCACUGGCAAGAACGCUCCAUGGAUGUGGCUGAAGGCGUUGACCGUCUUCGAUAGCAAAUGGAGCUGGGGUUCAGCGACUCUUGCCUACUUGUACCGACAGGUAGUUGGUCUGUUUUGUGAUCAACUCAUUUCUUCAUUAGCAAUGCAAGCUUGCUGUCAAGUUAACAUUGUUUUUCUUUCAUAUGCAGCUGGACGAUGCGUGUUGCAGGAUCACAGAUAG
Molecule: ribosomal RNA, 423 nt
Filed under: Triticum aestivum (bread wheat)
Lineage: Eukaryota; Viridiplantae; Streptophyta; Magnoliopsida; Poales; Poaceae
Description: partial small subunit ribosomal RNA
Source: RNAcentral